RNAcentral lists this ribosomal RNA (125 nucleotides) under Microcebus murinus (gray mouse lemur). The record is from RNAcentral. Lineage: Eukaryota; Metazoa; Chordata; Mammalia; Primates; Cheirogaleidae.
GUCUAUGGCCAUACCACGCUGAACGCACCCAGUCUCAUCUGAUCUCGGAAGCUAAGCAGGGUCGGGCCUGGUUAGUACUUGGAUGGGAAACCAGAGGAGUAGGGAAAAGCUGUUUGCCACUGGUA